GACAGUCCUUGUCCUACAGAAGCCAUGGCACUUAUUCUCUCCCUGGGGAGAGUGUUGGUGGAGCCAAUGGAGUAGAUGGGCAAGCUGGAAUAAGAACUGGCAGGUGUAGGACCAGGUGAAGAAGGAAAACCUUUUGGCUCGACAACAGAAGCAAAGCUGCAACAGAAAUAUAGAGAUCGCAGUAAAUAUAAAGAAGAUGUCUUUGUACUGCUGGAAUUUCUCCAGCUCCGCCUUCACCAGCACCUGUCUGAUGUGCAUCACCUCCUCCACCGUCAGAGACAGACACUCCACAGGAAAACAGAACUCCUCCUGCAGCAACAACAAGAAUUAUACGCACAGCACUGGAAGCAGCCAUCAGAACAUGAUACACUGUGGUCAUAAG
Long non-coding RNA from Oreochromis aureus, 382 nucleotides. RefSeq lists it as uncharacterized. The transcript is spliced from 4 exons. The record is from RefSeq and is a predicted model, not a curated record. NCBI's taxonomy places the organism in Eukaryota, Metazoa, Chordata, Actinopteri, Cichliformes, Cichlidae.